CAGCAACUUGGAAGAAGGUAUAGCAACAGCUAGUUGUAUAAAUAUAACUGUAACAGGUUUUUUUAUUUUACAAUAUCGAGUUUCUCGAUUAAAAUUCUAGGUAGAUUUAUGAUAAUGACAUUAUCUAUCUAUGUGUCUUGACCAAAAUACGUGCCAGCAGUCGCGGCAAGACGUAGAAGACUAGUGUUAUUCAUCUUUAAUUGGUUUAAAGCGUACCUAGACGGUAAUUAUAGCCUAAAUCAGGUACUUUUUUACUAGAGUUAUAUGUAAGGGUGUAUUAAAGUACUGUUGAGUUUAGAGAUGAAAUUCUUUGAUACCAGAUAAUUGGCACAGGUAAAGGCGAAAGCAUCACUUUAUGUAAUAACUGACGUUGACGGACGAAGGCUAUGUGUAGCAAACAGGAUUAGAGACCCUAGUAGUCUUAGCAGAAAAUUAUGAAUGUCAUAGGUUAGAUUUUAUUUGGUCUAUAAAUGAAAGUGUAAGCAUUCCACCUCAAGAGUAAUUUGGCAACAUUGGAACUGAAAUCAUUAGACCGUAUCUGAAAUCAGUAGUGAAGUAUGUUGUUUAAUUUGAUAAUCCGCAAAAAACCUUACCACAACUUGAAUAUAAUUAUAUUUUUUUACAAGUGUUGCACGGCUGUCUUCAGUUAAUGUCGUGAGAUCUUGGUUUGCUCCAUUUAAUUAACGUAAACCCUUACUCUAUUUUUAUAUAGAGUUUUCCGCCGCUAUAUAUGAUGUGAUA
Molecule: ribosomal RNA, 741 nt
Filed under: Fuscoderma amphibolum
Lineage: Eukaryota; Fungi; Ascomycota; Lecanoromycetes; Peltigerales; Pannariaceae
Description: SSU rRNA
Rfam family: Bacterial small subunit ribosomal RNA
Source: RNAcentral